GAAAGUGCAAACGAUACGAAACGAUUACGAUUAAGGAUGUAAGUGGAGGAAACUACGCGAACGAAGGAUACGAAGGAAGGAAGGAAGGAAGGAAGAAGGAAGGAAGGGCGCCGUCGUAGCCCGGGUACCCGUGGCUCCGCCUAUCGGCGCGCCGCCUCGCGGUGGUGAAUACAUUUAGCCUGGUUAGUUUACAAAUGAAUACAGCGAUUGAAGCAACUUAUAAUAUCAAUGUACCUCGGCCCGUCUCGCUCGCACGCCGGGCGCCACCCCUUGCCGCCAUCUCACUUCCACCCACUCUCUCGCGGGGUUCCAUACAGAAUGGCCAUAUUAACUUGAUAAUUAGCUCGGUUAUACGACUUGCAGAUGAGGAAAGACUCGGGACGGACGUCGGCUACCCCUACCAGGAGUGGUGCCAGUGUUCCUUGCUCUGCUCCCUAUGCUAUGCUCGACUCGGCCCGGCUCCUCGUCGCUCGUAGGAUGGAUAUAGAACCCUUAGUUCGUAUUCCUCUCCCUGUCUGCCAGGAACCCCGGUGCGCUCUCUCUGCCCGUAACCUAACCUCCGUACGCGUUUCACGCGCCACGCGCUCCGUGUUCUUCUUCUCCUUUUCGUUCGCUCUCUCCACGCGGUUUCGUUCCACAGUGCGCGUUUCUCCUCGAGUUUCGACCCGAGGAGAGGAAGGAAACCCCGAGUGCUCUUCUCCACGCCGCCGAACGAAGGAAGGAAGGACCAGGAAGGUGGAACAGCUGCCUCGACCCGCUCGACGGAGAAUCUAAAAAUCGAUGAGGGGACGAGAGGAACUGAAGAGAAAGGAAGGAGGAGGAGGAGGAGGAAACCACCAGAAGAUCGUAAUGAUACGUAAGACCGAGUGUAAAUACUACUAUCCGAGAAGGAAGACAGAAAGGAGGAAAAAAUCGUUUCAUCGCUAUUAAAGAAAAUUACGUUGCAAGAGACGGCGGGCAGUCGAUAUAUUUUCAUAAUCGUCGAAUUAUCGUUCGGUCUGCCUGGCUUGCAAAAAAGAUUACCGACAUCCGUCUACCGAUUGAUUUUCGUGGAAGGGCCACACACGCACAAUAACACGUAACGGAUGAACAAGUUGAAAAACCGUUCGUUCGUCCAGCAGAUAUCCGCCAGGAGGAGGCGUCGUCUCGAGGUGAAAGAGGUGGGGAGAAGGUGCGUUCAAAGAAGGAAGAAUCGAAUAGAAAAAGGGAUGAAACGUAUGGAGCGUGAACAAUAUCCCUCGUAAAGAGUCGAGGCUCGAGGCUGGCCCCUGGUAAAUGGAACACGUGUAAGGUGUCACAUCUAUCUGAAAAGUUCAUCGUUACGAAGAUACACGGAUGAAAAGAGUUUCCUAGAAUGUGAGCUAUCUUUGGAACCACCAUGGUGGCGAGUGUGUAAUCGAAGGAAUUGUAGAACACUUUUCUCAUGCAAAUACGCUCCCGAAUACGCAGACCCGUGGAAGGGACAACGAACUUCUUUCGCUCUGCUUAAAACUUCGAACUUGGGUCCUUUUAAAUUUAAAUGCUCUCCCCUCGGCACGGUCGAGCAGCCGUCGCGCGUUCUUCUUCUUCUUUCCUCGCGUCGAUGUCACGAAGAUGGUAAAAAAAAAGAAAAAAGAGAGAGAGAGAGAGAAGAAAAAAAACGCCAAAGGACACGAACCGUACGAUAGUGAUCAUUUUCGGAAUAAGAAAAAAGAAAAAACCGAUCUCUCUCUUCUUCUUUUUUUCUUUUUUUUUUUUAUACAAUUCGAAUAAUAUUCACAUUGUACGCGGAAUUGUAUCGCGAUUAUAUCAACAUAUCUUCGAGAAGAAAAAGAGAUAAGAUUUUCAUGGAGACGGUAAAAAAAAAAAGAAAAAGAAAAAGAAAAACGUUCGACGCGAGCUCGAUUCGAAGGAGAGAAAUUUUCGAGAAAUUGUUUUUUCAUUUUUUUUUCAUCGUUUUCCUUUGGGAAUUUUAACAAUGUACAUAAAAGAUCGCGCCCGUGUUCACGGCUUGGUAAUUAUUGAAACGAAUAAAAUUUUCACUCUGUACGUAAUAAUAAGCGGGCACGCGAAUAUAACCAUAAUAAUUGCGAAAACGUGCCCCCGAAUCGUCGUAAUACAAACGUAUCAAAAAUUAUUAUUUGCCGCUCGAUGUCCAAUGACCAGAAAAAUAUUUGCCCAAAGCGCCGUAUACCGUUGGAUACGGAUCGCAUUUGAAAUUCGAAUUAUUAUAAUUACGGUGUGCGCGAUUAAAAAUGAGAAAGCUGGAGAGAGGAGGAUAAAGGGAUGCGUAACCUCCGCUUCGUUCGAUGAUAUAAUUAUAAAGAGUUACAUGGUAGAAUGCGUCUACGAGCUGCGCUUAUUAAACCAAAAAUUUCAUGCGCAUUAAAUUAAGAAUAGAUUGUAUGCAUUAUCGUGUAUAUCCCACAGAUAUUUUUCCCUGGUGAAUAAAAAAAAUGAAAAAAAAAAAAAAAAAAAAAAAAAAUGGAAAAAAAGAGAGAAAGAAAUAAAAAAAAAAGAGGGGGGAAAAAAAAGAAGAAAAGAAAGAUAAUGAAUGAACGAAAAAACUUGAAUUACCUUACGCACGCGUUUCGUUCGCGUAGCGUGCGUGAAAUUUUAUUUCUUUUUUCUUUUCUUUCCUUUUUUUUUUUUUUUACCUUUUUCGAGCCACCAAGCUAACGAUUCCGAUAUUGACACGGGACGUCAAGGUUUUUAAAACGGAAGAUUCUCCCUUCCUCUUUUGUUUCUUUUAUUUUUUAUCUAUUGUUUUUUUUUUCCUCUCUCUUUUCCUCCUCCCUUUUAAUAGGGCGACAAGCGCGUUAAUACACGUAUACGCGCACAUACACGCGUGUACGUAUUUAUAAUUCGACGGAAGAAAGAGAGGAUGAAAUAGGAAGGAAAAGCUCGUGGCUCGUCCGCGUGAAUGUGCAUCGUGGUUGCCGUGUCGUUGUCGGGAGAGAACGAGAGUGACAAGGUAGAAGAGAAGAGUUAUUAAAAUGUAAAUAUGAAUCGACAAUCUGUAACCCAGCGCGUCGCGUUAAGCACGUGUGGCGCUGCCGUGUAGAUAAACGUGCCUCGAAUAUUCGCGAAAGCGCGAUGACGUUCGUAAAUGGGCUCGGUGGAAAACUUAUUUCAACCAACUUUUUUAUCGCCAACAAUUCUAUCCAACCGCAUGGAACGUCAACUUUUUACGCUCGAUUUAACUUCUCGACUCGAAAAGCCUCCCGGUUUUUUUAUCCGCCGAAACGGAUAUUGAUAAAUAACGCCACCGAUUUUUAUCUCGUUAACGCGAUAAUAAACAUCUCGCCAUCGUAUAUAUAUUUUUUUUUUUUUUUUAAUAGAACAUCGUCCCUCGAUUCGUGCUCGUUCGGGAUGGUCGCGAAGUAAACGAGUACGACGCGAUUGAUUAAUCGCGAUUUCCGCGUAAUUUCGGCUCGCUCUUAUAUAUUUUUCAUUUCUCGACGGGGAUAGAUCCGAGCAUAUCGGACCAUAUUAUACGAAUCUGGUGGAAAUAAAAAUUCCUCGCCGUUCUGCUCCUGUUUUUUUUACCGGUGCCAGCCAUAAAUUUUUCUUCUCACCCACCCCUCGAAACGCUUUCCUCCUGAUCUCUCUUUUUCUCUCCGUGUCGACUGGCUUCACAGAUUUAUGGACUUAUAGAUUCUUUCUCCUUUCUCCUUCUCUCUCCAUCCCGUGGAUUUAGCUAGGAAUCUCGAAACCUCCUACGAUUCCCUUCGAAUCUAUUUCACUCAACCAUCUAUAUAUAUCGAAUAACAAAUAAUCUCGACAAUCA
This 3769-nucleotide long non-coding RNA is filed under the name Apis mellifera (honey bee). RNAcentral's name for it is "uncharacterized LOC102656106". The record is from RNAcentral. Lineage: Eukaryota; Metazoa; Arthropoda; Insecta; Hymenoptera; Apidae.